AUUGAACGCUGGCGGCAGGCCUAACUCAUGCAAGUCGAGCGAGCGGCGGACGGGUGAGUAAUGUAUGGGGACUGCCCGAUAGAGGGGGAUAACUACUGGAAACGGUAGCUAAUACCGCAUACUAUCGGAUAACCCAUAUGGGAUUAGCUAGUAGGUGAGGUAAUGGCUCACCUAGGCGACGAUCCCUAGCUGGUCUGAGAGGAUGAUCAGCCAACCUGGGAAUGAGACACGGCCCAGACUCCUACGGUGGCAGGAGUGGGGAAUAUUGCACAAGGGGCGCAAGCAUGAUGCAGCCAUGCCGCGUGUAUGAAGAAGGCCCUAGGGUUGUAAAGUACUUUCAGUCGGGAGGCGUUACCGACAGAAGAAGCACCGGCUAACUCCGUGCCAGCCGCCGCGGUAAUUC
This 403-nucleotide ribosomal RNA is filed under the name uncultured bacterium. RNAcentral describes it as "partial 16S ribosomal RNA". It matches the Rfam family "Bacterial small subunit ribosomal RNA", at positions 30 to 526 of the family's 1533-position model. The record is from RNAcentral.